Molecule: non-coding RNA, 48 nt
Filed under: unclassified sequences
Description: DUF3800-XI RNA
Rfam family: DUF3800-XI RNA
About the family: Actinobacteria, Firmicutes, Proteobacteria, Spirochaetes (1 example).
Source: Rfam by way of RNAcentral
CGGUCUGGGCUCAGGCUCUUUGGACCACCGAAGGCGGGGAAAAUUCCC